CAGCCGCCGCGGUAAUACGUAGGGUGCAAGCGUUAAUCGGAAUUACUGGGCGUAAAGCGUGCGCAGGCGGUUAUAUAAGACAGAUGUGAAAUCCCCGGGCUCAACCUGGGAACUGCAUUUGUGACUGUAUAGCUAGAGUACGGCAGAGGGGGAUGGAAUUCCGCGUGUAGCAGUGAAAUGCGUAGAUAUGCGGAGGAACACCGAUGGCGAAGGCAAUCCCCUGGGCCUGUACUGACGCUCAUGCACGAAAGCGUGGGGAGCAAACAGGAUUAGAUACCCGAGUAGUCCCUGUCUCUUAUAA
RNAcentral lists this ribosomal RNA (301 nucleotides) under uncultured bacterium. Its description in RNAcentral is "partial 16S ribosomal RNA". It matches the Rfam family "Bacterial small subunit ribosomal RNA", at positions 509 to 809 of the family's 1533-position model. The record is from RNAcentral.